This 252-nucleotide ribosomal RNA is filed under the name uncultured bacterium. Its description in RNAcentral is "partial 16S ribosomal RNA". It matches the Rfam family "Bacterial small subunit ribosomal RNA", at positions 525 to 776 of the family's 1533-position model. The record is from RNAcentral.
ACGGAGGGUGCAAGCGUUGUUCGGAAUCACUGGGCGUAAAGAGCGUGUAGGCGGCGUUGUAAGUCUGAUGUGAAAGCCCUCGGCUUAACCGAGGAAGUGCAUCAGAUACUGCAGUGCUUGAAUCUCGGAGGGGGUGGCGGAAUUCCUGGUGUAGAGGUGAAAUUCGUAGAUAUCAGGAGGAACACCUGUGGCGAAGGCGGCCACCUGGACGAGUAUUGACGCUGAGACGCGAAAGCGUGGGUAGCAAACAGG